AUUGAACGCUGGCGGCAGGCUUAACACAUGCAAGUCGAGCGGGGGAAGGUAGCUUGCUACCGGACCUAGCGGCGGACGGGUGAGUAAUGCUUAGGAAUCUGCCUAUUAGUGGGGGAUAACAUUCCGAAAGGAAUGCUAAUACCGCAUACGUCCUACGGGAGAAAGCAGGGGAUCUUCGGACCUUGCGCUAAUAGAUGAGCCUAAGUCGGAUUAGCGAGUUGGUGGGGUAAAGGCCUACCAGGGCGACGAUCUGUAGCGGGUCGGAGAGGAUGACACGCCACACUGGAACUGAGACACGGCCCAGACUCCUACGGGAGGCAGCAGUGGGGAAUAUUGGACAAUGGGGGAAACCCUGAUCCAGCCAUGCCGCGUGUGUGAAGAAGGCCUUAUGGUUGUAAAGCACUUUAAGCGAGGAGGAGGCUACUGAGAUUAAUACUCUUGGAUAGUGGACGUUACUCGCAGAAUAAGCACCGGCUAACUCUGUGCCAGCAGCCGCCGUAA
RNAcentral lists this ribosomal RNA (501 nucleotides) under uncultured bacterium. RNAcentral's name for it is "partial 16S ribosomal RNA". It matches the Rfam family "Bacterial small subunit ribosomal RNA", at positions 30 to 523 of the family's 1533-position model. The record is from RNAcentral.